Thermincola sp. is the source of this 378-nucleotide non-coding RNA. It matches the Rfam family "Bacterial RNase P class A". From Rfam's summary of the family: Ribonuclease P (RNase P) is a ubiquitous endoribonuclease, found in archaea, bacteria and eukarya as well as chloroplasts and mitochondria. Its best characterised activity is the generation of mature 5'-ends of tRNAs by cleaving the 5'-leader elements of precursor-tRNAs. NCBI's taxonomy places the organism in Bacteria, Bacillati, Bacillota, Clostridia, Eubacteriales, Thermincolaceae. The record is from Rfam.
UGAGUAAAUCAGAUGAUCGCGGGUAUAAAUUCAUGUUUAUACCUGAGGAAAGUCCGAGCUCCACAGGGCAGGGUGCUGGGUAAUACCCAGUGGGGGCGACCCCAAGGAAAGUGCCACAGAAACAAACCGCCUCCUACUGGAGGUUGGAGGUUACUUCUAACCUCUAGUAUGGGGUAAGGGUGGAACGGUGAGGUAAGAGCUCACCAGCGGUUAGGCGACUAACCGGCUAGGUAAACCCCACCUGGAGCAAGACCAAAUAGGGGAACAAUGGAGCGGCCCGUUCCGUUCCCGGGUAAGGUCGCUAGAGGCGGCAGGUAACUGUCGUCCCAGAUAGAUGAUCAUCCACGACAGAACUCGGCUUAUCGAUUUACUCGGUUU